This 422-nucleotide ribosomal RNA is filed under the name uncultured bacterium. RNAcentral describes it as "partial 16S ribosomal RNA". It matches the Rfam family "Bacterial small subunit ribosomal RNA", at positions 360 to 774 of the family's 1533-position model. The record is from RNAcentral.
AAUCUUCCGCAAUGGACGGAAGUCUGACGGAGCAACGCCGCGUGAGCGAAGAAGGUCUUCGGAUCGUAAAGCUCUGUUGUGAGGGAAGAACAAGGGUAGGAGUAACUGUCUAUUCUUUGACGGUACCUCACCAGAAAGCCACGGCUAACUACGUGCCAGCAGCCGCGGUAAUACGUAGGUGGCAAGCGUUGUCCGGAAUUAUUGGGCGUAAAGGGCGCGCAGGCGGUUCCUUAAGUCUGAUGUGAAACCUUGCGGCUUAACCCCAAGCGGUCAUUGGAAACUGGGGGACUUGAGUGCAGAAGAGGAGAGUGGAAUUCCACGUGUAGCGGUGAAAUGCGUAGAGAUGUGGAGGAACACCAGUGGCGAAGGCGGCUCUCUGGUCUGCAACUGACGCUGAGGCGCGAAAGCGUGGGUAGCGAACA